RNAcentral lists this long non-coding RNA (788 nucleotides) under Homo sapiens (human). RNAcentral describes it as "non-protein coding lnc-PRDM1-6:1". Lineage: Eukaryota; Metazoa; Chordata; Mammalia; Primates; Hominidae. The record is from RNAcentral.
UGGGAAAGUAUGUACAAGUGCAGCUGCACUGACUUUAAUUUUCUAGAUGUCUUAAUGAGAUUUAUUUGUUUUAGAGAAGAACAUCUUGUUAAAAGCAUCAAACUCUGUCUUACAUAGCUGUCAACAGCCUCUUUAAGAUGUGGUGGUUGUAUGAUCUGUGUCUUAAUUGUUCAGUUAGAGUGAGAAGUUGACCUAUGAUUCAUUUUUAAAUUUUAUAUUUGGAACAAAGCUGCAAGUUAUGGUAAAGUACUGUACUGUGAGAAGUAUUAUGAUAUUUAAUGCAUCUGUGGCUUAACACUUGUGAGAGUUACCAGCUUGAAAAUGAUGGUGUUGACUACCUCUUGAAUCACAUCUAUCAACCACUGGCACCUACCACCAAGCUGGCUUCAAUUAGUAUGUGUUGCUUUUUGGUAUUAACAACUAACCGUACUAGAGACCAAAGUGAACCCUGAUUUUUAUAUGUCUUUAAUAAUGGUGUUUUAUCUAGUGUUUUUAAAUUAUCCUGUGUAGUAUUUAGAUUACCUCAUUGUCCAUUUUGACUCAUGUUGUUUACAAGUGAAAAUAAAAACACUUGAACUGUAUGUUUUUAAAAGACAAAAAAGGGGUAGAUGUUUGGAAUGCGUUUCACUCGCAUGCAGUCAUCUGGAGGGACUGAAGCACUGUUUGCCUUUCUGUACACUCUGGGUUUUAUAUUCUCAUUUCAUGCCUAAUGUCUUAUUCUGUCAAUUAUGGAUAUGUUGAGGUUUAAAAAAAUUACUUGAUUAAAAAUAAAACAUAUAACGUUGGCA